GUUCCGCAAUUAGGCACCGAGAGUCGGUGGUUUACUUAAACACACUGAUCAGCUGACGAGUUGGACCUACCUCUCUAAACUAUAUUUCGCAACUCUCGGGCCCGAAAGUCAACGCCCGUGGUGGGCCCUCCGGCGGCCGCGGCCGCGAGUCGGCAGCGGCCGCCGACCGGUCGGGCCCGGUGACAAAGUCCAGGUACCCGGGGGCGGCCCCGAGGGCCGAUCGCUCCGAGCCGAGACACCGAUUCGUGGCACCAAUACGUAUGUGAUUGUGAGAUCGGCGCCCAGGGCGCCGAUUUCAGCCGUUCGGCCGGGUAUUUACCUCCUCCGUAGUGUGACCUCUUCGUGGUGCCAUUUUCCGUUUCACUGUCCAGCGGCCUCUUUCUGGAAUCGGGCAUUUCUGGGGACGGACACGUCUCCAUACCCGAGUCAGCCGCCAUCUUUGACUGCUGCCACUGCAUUCCAGUCGGGCGGAGUGCGGCGCGGUAGACGGGGAGAGCACAUUGCCUACUUUACAGGCGGCACCGACUCUGCUUAUUAUAAACCUUGAGCCACGCAACUUGGAAAUUAAGAAAGUUGUGUUAUCUUUAUAACAGUUAAACCGCACAACAUCCCCGGCAUCAUUGACGUUGGCGUGUCGCCUUGUUUUGCUUGCGACAAGAAGUCCUUUCUCCUCUGGGCAAGUUUUGCGCAAUACAGGCACGUAUGCGCGCUUCAGUAAUGGCGCGCUUGGCCCAGCUUGGCGCCUGUCGCUAGCUCUCUGCGAAAUCAUCGCUGCGCUCAAAGAGUUUUCUGCAGAGGCAGCACUGAUCAACCAGAAGCUGGGCGCAUAGGCCGCAGCACACAGUUGUCCACACCUCGUGCGACGCCUGCGGAUUUGCUCUGCCGCAACCACACGCGCUAUACUGACGAGGCAAAUUAAUUUUAACUCUCAUUAUGCUCCAUAAUGCAGAUAAAAUGCGUUCGGUGCAAUUUAAAACGGUUUCUUCCUAAAGCAUCUAAUGCUUUUGCGUUUUUUUUUUUGUUACAAUGAAAUUAAUUAUAUACAUUUUAAUGAAAAUAUUUAAAGCCUUAGAAUUUAUAAAUAUUGUAAUUAUAAUAAAUUGAAAAUAAUAAUUUCUUUUGGAUAAAAAAUAAAAGAAAAGUUUGAAAAUAUAUUAUAUUAUUAAGUUAUUUUUUGUUUCGAUAAAAUAAAAUUGUAAGUUGAAUAGGAAAACUGCAAAUUAUGUUUUCGCCUUUACAUUGAAUUUAUUGAUUAUGGAUGUAGGUACAUUACCCUAUGACAUAAAGUGUUUUUAAUUUUUGUAUUUUAACGUCUAGAUAGACUUUUCAUUAAUUAAGGAGUGCAACUUUUACAAGAUUCACCUAGACACCUAUGUGAGUUUUAACUUUGAAGAAAUAAAUAAACUUAAGGGAACUCAAAAGCGUGCGUAAUUAAAAGGUGCUUGCCUUAAUAGAAUGGUACAUUUUUUUAAGGUGCGUUUAAAUUUGAUUAUUUAGAGGAUUGUAAUUUCAAUCCAAACCGAAAUCAAAUUUCUUUUCAGUGCUAAGACCAUCAAUGCCCUGGUUACUGUAGUAAUAGAACCAGUAGACUAGGUUAAACACAAUGUAGAAGAUCGGCAAAAAGACGACAAAAGCAGACUCGAAGAGAGAGUUGGCUGGAAAAUUCAUGAAACCAACUACCUUGGCAGCAUCGUCGUCAAUGUCCAUCUAAAAUUUUAUACAGAAAUAUUUAAAUAAAUUAA
Neocloeon triangulifer is the source of this 1742-nucleotide long non-coding RNA. RefSeq lists it as uncharacterized. The transcript is spliced from 3 exons. The record is from RefSeq and is a predicted model, not a curated record. Lineage: Eukaryota; Metazoa; Arthropoda; Insecta; Ephemeroptera; Baetidae.